GUGGAUGUGAAGGUUAAGGGAGUGUCCAGUGUGAAGGAGGGGGACUCUGUAGAGCUGAGAUGCUCCAGUGACAGUAACCCUACUGCCCACUGCUACCGUUGGCACAACAGCAGAGGACCUCUGCCCACCACUGGACCCACAUUCACACUGGAGAAUGUGACCAGACUCACUGAAGCCCUCUACUGCACUGCCAUCAACACAGAGGGACAAGGCCAAUCCAGCCCACUGAAGCUCAACGUAGACUAUCCCCCUGAGAUCAAAGUCGGCUCUGCCUGCACUUCAGACAUCUCCAUGGUAACCUGUCUGUGCAUUGUGAAUUUGGGUCCCCCGGCACCGUGGAGUGGUCUCUUCCAGCCGAACCCCUGCCCACCCUGCCCAGUACCAGACGUGAAAGGCAUGGAUCAGUUACCAUGGUGACCCUACAGAGGGCACUAGGCUUCUCAGAGACCAUCCACUGCCAUGCCAGCAACACCCAGGGCAAUGCCACCUUGUCAUUCACUGUGUCCACAAAUGUGGGAGGAGUCAUAGUGACCAGCCAGUAGCCAGUAUACAGGACAUGGAUGCAGCCAAGUGUGCUUCCUCAGAUCCCUCAACAUCAAGGAAAGAGCAGAAAGACACCAGCAGUGAAAUCCUCACAAACUACUACACCAACAAUCACCUAUAUGGCAACAUGGAGGCUGAAGAGGAUGGCGACCCAUUCGAGUGUGAUGGUGAAGAUGAUUCAGUCUAUGAGGACCUGAGCCCUAGGACCAUGCCUCAGGACUACCUGGCAUGAUGACUCCUU
Molecule: long non-coding RNA, 784 nt
Organism: Oncorhynchus gorbuscha (pink salmon)
Lineage: Eukaryota; Metazoa; Chordata; Actinopteri; Salmoniformes; Salmonidae
Exons: 6
Source: RefSeq, a predicted model, not a curated record